RNAcentral lists this long non-coding RNA (1897 nucleotides) under Homo sapiens (human). Its description in RNAcentral is "small nucleolar RNA host gene 5". The record is from RNAcentral. Lineage: Eukaryota; Metazoa; Chordata; Mammalia; Primates; Hominidae.
GCUGCGCACUUCGGUCUUUUACGUCGGCCUUCGCGAGCGUCUGGGCGGGUGGUAGGUGAGUGGGUAUUGCGGGCUAGUAUCCGAGCAAAAGAUGGUGGCGCAGGCCGAGUUAAGAGCUUUAAUCCUGUGAAGACAUCUUAGUGAAGAGUUUAGAGUGCUGAGAGUUGAAAGCUUGCACGUGGGAAACGUGCGGCCGGACUGCCACAUGUACUGAGGUUGAGUCGUGACGGCCACAGGCUCCGAGUUUUGGCGUGAGGAACCGCUGAUCGGCCACGGGCGCCGAACUUGCUGGCCUCCGGCAUGUGCCUGAGCGGCGGCGGAAAAACCACCUUAAUUGGGGCGGAGGGUUAGUUUUAACAGCAAAGGGCCUUUACUAAAAUGGCGAAGGCCUUCCGUCGGCGUUGUUUUAAAAUGGGAAGCCUCGACCCUGUAUUGAAACUGAGCUGUUCGAAGGCGGCGUUGUGUGCAAUUCGGAUUAAUGAAGGGGAAGGGUUUUGUGUGGAAAAACGCCUUGGAGUGUGACAUUUCUGCGAGAAUGCUUAAAUACCGAUUUCCCGCAGGAACAAUGGCGCUGUCUUCAGUGGCACAGUGGAGCAGCUCUGAAGAUGCAAAGAUACACGAAAAAACUUCCAGAACAUCUGGGAGAAUAUUUAAUGGAAAAUCGCUUGGUUAAAACCUGACACUUUUAACAGUGAGGGUCGCUGUCUGCCCAUUGAUAGAGGCCAGAUUGUCUUGGAAGUUCCAAAGUUGCAACGAUUUCUGGCUAGUGCCACGAGGUUUACUUGACUGUUGUGUGAAAAGCUGAUAAGAAAACCAUCCAGAAAAAAGCUCUUCGUUUUACAAACAUGAAAAUAAAACAUUUAGUUGAAUCCAUGGACAUGAAACCCACAGAUAUAGAGGGUUGGCCCGGUGCAGUGGCUCACGCCUGUAAUCCCAGCACUUUGGGAGGCCAAGGCGGGUGGAUCACCUGAGGUCAGAAGCUUGAGACCAGCCUGGCCAACAUGGUAAAACCCCAUCUCUACUAAUAAUACAAAACAAUUUGCUGGGCAUGGUGGUGCACGCUUGUAAUCCAAGCUACUCCAGAGGCUGAGGCAGAAGAAUCGCUUGAAUCCGAGAGGCAAAGGUUGCAGUGAGCCCAGAUCACACCACUGCUCUCCAACCUGGGCAACAAGAGCAAAACUCCGUCAAAAAAAAAAGAUACAGGGUCAACUGUACACAUUAAACACUUCUAUCAACUAGUGAUGUCAGUCUUGUCCAUUGUAUUAUUGCCUAUCUUACUAAACAGUCAUAUUUCAGGAAGUACAAUAUACUCAAAAACUAAGUUAAUGUUCUUUGUAGAUUUAUGGUUAAUGGAUGAUUCAUAUAAUAGAAACUUAAAUUUAUUUGACCAUUCUAUUUAAUAUAGAAUAAAUACAACUAGCCAGGCAUGGUGGCUCAUGUCUAUAAUGCCAGCACUUGGGGAGGCCAAGGUGGGAGGCUCACUUGAGCAUAGGAAUUCAAGGCCAGCCUGGGCAACACAAUGUGAGACCCGUCUCUAUGAAAAUUUUAAAAAUUAGCCAAGCAUGGUAACACAAGUCUGUGGUCCCAGCUACUUGGGAGGCUGAGGCGCGAGAAGUCCAGGAGGUCAACGCUGCAGUGAGCUGUGUGUGUGCCACUGCAUCCUAGCCUGGGCAACAGAGCAAGACCCUGUCUCAAAAAUAAAGAAUAAAUACAACCUAUUAAGCUUGAGAGAUCCAGUGAAAUCCAAAUAAGAGAAACUGUGUCCUACACAGUUUUCUGUUAACCAUUUUCUUGGUAUUUAAAUUAUUUAUCAAAUUUUAACUUCAAUAAAAAAUUAUUCUGGAGAACACAUACCUCUAGAGUAAGUAAAGUAUACACUUUCAAUUUUUAGACAUGA